RNAcentral lists this non-coding RNA (155 nucleotides) under marine actinobacterium K362. RNAcentral describes it as "marine actinobacterium FMN sequence". It matches the Rfam family "FMN riboswitch aptamer (RFN element)". From Rfam's summary of the family: The RFN element is a highly conserved domain that is found frequently in the 5'-untranslated regions of prokaryotic mRNAs that encode for flavin mononucleotide (FMN) biosynthesis and transport proteins. RNAcentral also lists the same sequence under 1 other name. Lineage: Bacteria; Bacillati; Actinomycetota; Actinomycetes. The record is from RNAcentral.
AACGUGCUCCGGGGCUCGGUGAGAUUCCGAACCGGCGGUUAUAGUCCGCGACCCGCAACGAAGUGAAAACUUUGGAACGGUUGACCUGGUGAAACUCCGGGACCGACGGUAAUGAGAUCGCAAGAUUUCUCAGUCCGGAUAAGAGGAAGCACGAG